UGCUAUACAUGCAGUCGAGCGCAGGAAUAAACAGAACCCUUCGGGGUGAUGUUUAUGGAAUGAGCGGCGGACGGGUGAGUAACACGUGGGCAACCUGCCUGUAAGAUCGGGAUAACUCGCGGAAACGUGAGCUAAUACCGGAUAACACUUUUCAUCUCAUGGUGAGAAGAUAAAAGACGGUUUCGGCUGUCACUUACAGAUGGGCCCGCGGCGCAUUAGCUAGUUGGUGAGGUAACGGCUCACCAAGGCGACGAUGCGUAGCCGACCUGAGAGGGUGAUCGGCCACACUGGGACUGAGACACGGCCCAGACUCCUACGGGAGGCAGCAGUAGGGAAUCUUCCGCAAUGGACGAAAGUCUGACGGAGCAACGCCGCGUGAGUGAUGAAGGUUUUCGGAUCGUAAAACUCUGUUGUUAGGGAAGAACAAGUUGGGUAGUAACUGACCCAACCUUGACGGUACCUAACCAGAAAGCCACGGCUAACUACGUGCCAGCAGCCGCGGUAAUACGUAGGUGGCAAGCGUUGUCCGGAAUUAUUGGGCGUAAAGCGCUCGCAGGCGGUCUUUUAAGUCUGAUGUGAAAGCCCACGGCUUAACCGUGGAGGGUCAUUGGAAACUGGAGGACUUGAGUACAGAAGAGGAGAGUGGAAUUCCACGUGUAGCGGUGAAAUGCGUAGAGAUGUGGAGGAACACCAGUGGCGAAGGCGACUCUCUGGUCUGUAACUGACGCUGAGGAGCGAAAGCGUGGGUAGCGAACAGGAUUAGAUACCCUGGUAGUCCACGCCGUAAACGAUGAGUGCUAGGUGUUAGGGGGUUUCCGCCCCUUAGUGCUGAAGUUAACGCAUUAAGCACUCCGCCUGGGGAGUACGGCCGCAAGGCUGAAACUCAAAAGAAUUGACAGGGGCCCGCACAAGCGGUGGAGCAUGUGGUUUAAUUCGAAGCAACGCGAGAACCUUGAUCUUAGUUGCCAGCAUUCAGUUGGGCACUCUAAGGUGACUGCCGGUGACAAACCGGAGGAAGGUGGGGAUGACGUCAAAUCAUCAUGCCCCUUAUGACCUGGGCUACACACGUGCUACAAUGGAUGGAACAAAGGGAAGCGAACCCGUGAGGUCAAGCCAAUCCCAUAAAACCAUUCUCAGUUCGGAUUGUAGGCUGCAACUCGCCUACAUGAAGCCGGAAUCGCUAGUAAUCGCGGAUCAGCAUGCCGCGGUGAAUACGUUCCCGGGCCUUGUACACACCGCCCGUCACACCACGAGAGUUGGUAACACCCGAAGUCGGUGAGGUAACC
RNAcentral lists this ribosomal RNA (1286 nucleotides) under Oceanobacillus profundus. RNAcentral's name for it is "bacterial SSU rRNA". It matches the Rfam family "Bacterial small subunit ribosomal RNA". The record is from RNAcentral. Lineage: Bacteria; Bacillati; Bacillota; Bacilli; Caryophanales; Bacillaceae.